This is a long non-coding RNA of Dreissena polymorpha, 457 nucleotides long. RefSeq lists it as uncharacterized. The transcript has 3 exons. The record is from RefSeq and is a predicted model, not a curated record. Lineage: Eukaryota; Metazoa; Mollusca; Bivalvia; Myida; Dreissenidae.
AGUACUUCGUUUUUCGUUAACUUUCACCAUCGUGCUAUGCCUAAAAUUGCACGUGUCUUGAGAUUGAGGCUAUUCGUGAGAUAACAGACAUAAACAGUGCUAGGCUGAGUGAAAAUUCAAAAUCCUUCUUCCGAGUUGAGUAACAAAGGUCCGGGAGACAACCCAGGAUAUCAAGAGGAAGAGCACCACGUGAGAUAACCAGACCGAAAAAAUGCCAAAAACACAUAUGAACUGCAUGGAAAUAAAUUUUACCUGAUUUCUCGUCGGCCGAUUUCAUUUCCACAAAUUCUGGGCCAAAAUAUGAAAUGAAAAGAAAAUAUUUUAAAACUAAGAAUAUAUAUAUUAUGGCCAUGAAUUCUAGUUUUGUCGUCUUACACUUACAUAGAACUACCAUAAGUUGGUGUUCAUUCCUUGAAUUCUUGUUGGUAUGGUAAUUGAUUUGUUAGAGAUAUAUACU